GCUCUUAGUUCUUCAGUCUCUCAUUUUAUCUUGGGGACAACCAUGACUUUAGCUAAAAUCAACAGGCUGCCAUAUGCUAGGCACUGUGCUCUACUGGUUUGGAAAGUGGUGUGGGGAGAGGAGUGCUAUUUCUUCAGGAAGGGAGCAGGAGGCUGACUCAGGAGCAUUUGGGGAAUUUCUGUUUUGGCACGCUGAAUUUCAGGCAUCAAAGAGAUACAUAAAUGAAGAUGUUCCAGGAUAAUUGGAAACGCAGGCAGAGUUUAGAAGAUACCUCUAAUUUGGGAAAACAGCUUUUUUCAGGCUGUCAGAAGCACAAGCUGCGGCGGUGACGAUAGGAAGAUGACGGGUGACAUGCCAGCCCUAAUUAGAGACUUGAUUGCUCCGUCAUAAAAGGCCCGUGUGUGAUCUGGAUGGUUCUGGGUUGUCACAGAGGAUGAAUCGAAUGUGUCCACACCUUCAUUUCAAAAUAUACAAUUUACCUGCAGCCCUGCUUGGCUUAAGUGGACAGCAUUUAUGCUACAUUCCUCAGCAAACUACCUGUUAUCUGCAAGAAAAAUGCAGGCCUGAAAUAAUUCUGAUAAGAGGGACCCAAGUUACCCCAAAGAGGAGGAUUUUGUGACCUUUACGCAGAUCAGAUCCCAGGACUCGGGAAGAUGAGGCAAUGCUACCUAACCUUAACAUCUGUAAGAACAGGUUCCGGUUCACAGGGGCCAAAGUGGCCUAGAGCUGGCCUGCCAGUGGGAACUUGAAGUCUUAUGUCGUUUUGCUGUUGGUGAAAAUCAAGAGGUGGACCUGGGCAGGACUCUCUGGAAGCUUCCCUGGAACUCCCCAUAAAACUGGAGUGCAGGAGAGACAUGCUAUCUCUCUGAGAAGAUCCACUCUGUCCCUCAAGAGUCUCCCCUUUCCCCUUUCCCAUCCCUUCUAAUAACUCCGAGUCACGUGUCUGAAGUCUUUCUGAUUUGAUUGCAAGAGCUGGGAUUUGAAAGGGGGACUUUGCACUGACUGGGUUUCCUGGAAGACCCCAGCCCAGCAACAGAAGUACAGCAGAGGGCCUCUCCAAUCAGCAGUACCACGACAAGGGGAUGAUUCUGCUGCUGUGAAACUCAGAGAUUUUAGAUUAUUCUUACAAUCUUUUAAAAACUAUGAUGUCUUUUUCUUUGGAUCCAAGUCAGCAUAAUGACACUCUUCUCUCUAGAGAUAGGAUUUGAAAUAAUCUGCAGCCACUGUACAAAACAGCUGAACGUGGCUGGGCAGAGGGCUAGCACCUCAUUAUCUUCCCGGGGAUAAUGCUGAGUGUGCCUGCGACCCGGCACUGGGCUGGCACUGUGCUUGGGUUCUCUUCAUCCCUUCUCUACCCUUGGGAAUCUUGCAUUUCUGUAAUUGAGCAUGGCCACAGUUGUUUGAUAUGCCCAUGUUUAAACUUCAGUCUUUGUUUUCACUGUC
Non-coding RNA from Ictidomys tridecemlineatus (thirteen-lined ground squirrel), 1443 nucleotides. The record is from RefSeq and is a predicted model, not a curated record. NCBI's taxonomy places the organism in Eukaryota, Metazoa, Chordata, Mammalia, Rodentia, Sciuridae.